RNAcentral lists this transfer RNA (55 nucleotides) under Dehalococcoidia bacterium. RNAcentral's name for it is "tRNA-Arg". It matches the Rfam family "tRNA", at positions 1 to 53 of the family's 71-position model. Rfam says of the family: Transfer RNA (tRNA) molecules are approximately 80 nucleotides in length. Their secondary structure includes four short double-helical elements and three loops (D, anti-codon, and T loops). The record is from RNAcentral. Lineage: Bacteria; Bacillati; Chloroflexota; Dehalococcoidia.
GCGCCCGUAGCUCAGUGGAUAGAGCAUUGGUCUUCGGAACCAAGGGUCGCGGGUU